AGGAAUUUAGGUUAACUAAGACCGAGAGCCUUCAAAGCUCUAAGCAAAUAACAACUAUUUAAUUCCUG
This 68-nucleotide transfer RNA is filed under the name Lyroderma lyra (Indian false vampire). RNAcentral's name for it is "tRNA-Trp". Lineage: Eukaryota; Metazoa; Chordata; Mammalia; Chiroptera; Megadermatidae. The record is from RNAcentral.